RNAcentral lists this ribosomal RNA (253 nucleotides) under uncultured bacterium. RNAcentral describes it as "partial 16S ribosomal RNA". It matches the Rfam family "Bacterial small subunit ribosomal RNA", at positions 524 to 776 of the family's 1533-position model. The record is from RNAcentral.
UACAGAGGGGGCAAGCGUUGUUCGGAAUUACUGGGCGUAAAGGGCGCGUAGGCGGCCUGCUAAGUCGAACGUGAAAUCCCCGGGCUCAACCCGGGAACUGCGUCCGAUACUGGUUGGCUUGAAUCCGGGAGAGGGAUGCGGAAUUCCAGGUGUAGCGGUGAAAUGCGUAGAUAUCUGGAGGAACACCGGUGGCGAAGGCGGCAUCCUGGACCGGCAUUGACGCUGAGGAGCGAAAGCCAGGGGAGCAAACGGG